CCUACGGGGGGCAGCAGUGGGGAAUAUUGCGCAAUGGGCGAAAGCCUGACGCAGCGACGCCGCGUGAGGGAUGAAGGUCCUCGGAUCGUAAACCUCUGUCAGCAGGGAAGCACGGUCACUGUGCUAAUCAGCAGUGAAUUGACGGUACCUGCAAAGGAAGCACCGGCUAACUCCGUGCCAGCAGCCGCGGGAAUACGGAGGGUGCGAGCGUUAAUCGGAAUUACUGGGCGUAAAGCGCUCGUAGGCGGUAUGUCAAGUCAAGGGUGAAAUCCCCGCGCUCAACGUGGGAACUGCCGUUGAAACGGGCAGACUGGAGUGGGUGAGAGGAUAGUGGAAUUCCAGGUGUAGGGGUGAAAUCCGUAGAUAUCUGGAGGAACAUCAGUGGCGAAGGCGACUAUCUGGCACAUAACUGACGCUGAGGAGCGAAAGCGUGGGUAGCAAACAGGAUUAGAUACCCUUGUAGUC
This 465-nucleotide ribosomal RNA is filed under the name uncultured bacterium. RNAcentral's name for it is "partial 16S ribosomal RNA". It matches the Rfam family "Bacterial small subunit ribosomal RNA", at positions 338 to 795 of the family's 1533-position model. The record is from RNAcentral.